GUGCUUGCAUCAGCAUCACAUAUACUUAAAUUUAAAUGAUACAGAGAAGAUUAGCAUGGCCCCAUGUGCAAGGAUGACACACAGAUUUGUGAUUUCUAAAUUUUU
This is a small nuclear RNA of Suncus etruscus (white-toothed pygmy shrew), 105 nucleotides long. Lineage: Eukaryota; Metazoa; Chordata; Mammalia; Eulipotyphla; Soricidae. The record is from RefSeq and is a predicted model, not a curated record.